GUACCUAUGGGGGGCAGCAGUGGGGAAUAUUGGACAAUGGGGGGAACCCUGAUCCAGCGACGCCGCGUGAGUGAAGAAGUAUUUCGGUAUGUAAAGCUCUAUCAGCAGGGAAGAAAGAAAUGACGGUACCUGACUAAGAAGCCCCGGCUAACUACGUGCCAGCAGCCGCGGUAAUACGUAGGGGGCAAGCGUUAUCCGGAUUUACUGGGUGUAAAGAGAGCGUAGGCGGCACUACAAGUCUCAUGUGAAAUACCCGGGCUUAACUUGGGGGUUGCAUGGGAAACUGUAGAGCUUGAGUACAGGAG
RNAcentral lists this ribosomal RNA (305 nucleotides) under uncultured bacterium. RNAcentral's name for it is "bacterial SSU rRNA". It matches the Rfam family "Bacterial small subunit ribosomal RNA", at positions 335 to 654 of the family's 1533-position model. The record is from RNAcentral.